CCCGGACGCUGGGCCAGACCUGGGGAGGUCUCUUGCGGGCCAUUGGCUUGGGCCGCUGUUCCGACCCGGCUUUGAGGAUUUCCCCAGGCUUUGGGGCCCCCUUUGUGGACCGGCGAGAGAGUAGCCAGGCCAGCGACUCACCUUUGACCCCACCCACCACUCCUUGCAUCCCUCAAGUUCCCCUGCACCCGUCCCCUGGAGCCCAAGGCUUUGAAACGGUAGUGACUCCGCAAAGAAAGCGGAUCACUCUGUGA
Molecule: long non-coding RNA, 254 nt
Filed under: Capra hircus (goat)
Lineage: Eukaryota; Metazoa; Chordata; Mammalia; Artiodactyla; Bovidae
Description: lncRNA (ENSCHIG00000000876.1)
Source: RNAcentral